This 851-nucleotide long non-coding RNA is filed under the name Populus trichocarpa (black cottonwood). Its description in RNAcentral is "long non-coding RNA (PTRI_LNC004007)". The record is from RNAcentral. Lineage: Eukaryota; Viridiplantae; Streptophyta; Magnoliopsida; Malpighiales; Salicaceae.
UGAAAAUCCCCGUCCCUCCAAGAACAAUUCAGACUAUAAAUCGCACCGCCACCUUUGGAAAUCGUCACAAAUGAAGAAAAAAAAAUUAAAAUAAUAAACCCUUAAAAAAGAAAAAUGAAAAAAAGAAAACACAUGUAGCUCCGCCCUACCAAAUGCGCACUUUACCGCUGAUACUUACGCACAGUGUGCACAUUCUUAAACGAGACCCUUCUGCACAUGUAUUUUCUUCGACACUUUUACGGAGAAUUUCUAUGGUGUGACAGUGCUAGGAGGCGUCCUGGACUCUGGUGGAGGAGUAUGGCUCUCGGAUCCUUUAGAUGGAUCAUCAGAUGAUUGCCGUAAUCCAUCAUCCGUCUCUCCCCUAUUCAUAUCCUCGAUCAUCCUUACAACCUCUUGCAUUGCUGGUCUUUGAUCAGGUACAGUGGAGACACAAGCCAUUGCUAUCUGCAACAACUGCACCAUUUCCUCCUCAAUGUUAUGGUACCUCAUCAACUCCACGUCAAAGACCUCAGCAGUCCAUUCCUCACGAACCACUGACUGGACCCACCUGGGCAAAUCAAUACCUUCUUCGCCUAAUGAGGCUUGAUUGGGUGCUUUGCCUGUUAGGAGCUCAAGGAGCAACACACCGAAACUGUACACAUCGGAUUUGAAGGUAACUUUGCGGGUUUCUACCACUUCUGGGGCGCGAUAGCCUGCGACUCGGCUAGGUGGCGUAGAGGUACCAAAGAGCGGGUUGAGCCCGUAAUCUGAAACGCAAGCGUCAUUGUCAGGUCGGAGUAGAAUGUUGGACGAUUUGAUGUUGCCAUGAAUCACCUUGCCCGCAAUGUGGAGGUGAGCAAGACCUCUUGCUG